Molecule: ribosomal RNA, 492 nt
Filed under: uncultured bacterium
Lineage: Bacteria
Description: partial 16S ribosomal RNA
Rfam family: Bacterial small subunit ribosomal RNA
Source: RNAcentral
AGUGAACGCUGGCGGUAGGCCUAACACAUGCAAGUCGAACGGCAGCACAGUAAGAGCUUGCUCUUACGGGUGGCGAGUGGCGGACGGGUGACGAAUACAUCGGCAUCUACUUUUUCGGGGGGGAUAACGUAGGGCCACUUACGCUACUACCGCAUACGACCUACGGGUGAAAGCAGUGGAGCUUCAGACCUUUCCCGAUUCAAUGAGCCGAUGUCGGAUUAGCUAGUUGGCGGGGUAAGGGCCCACCAAGGCGACGAUCCGUAGCGGGUCUGAGAGGAUGAUCGGCCACACUGGAACUGAGACACGGUCCAGACUCCUACGGGAGGCAGCAGUGGGGAAUAUUGGGCAAUGGGCGCAAGCCUGAUCCAGCCAUACCGCGUGGGUGAAGAAGGCCUUCGGGUUGUAAAGCCCUUUUGUUGGGAAAGAAAAGCAGCAGGUGAAUACACCGCUGUUCUGACGGUACCCAAAGAAUAAGCACCGGCUAACUUCGUG